GAAGGUGUUAUCUCUGUGUUCUACUGAUCUGAAGGUGUUCUCUCUCUCUGUGUUCUACUGAUCUGAAUGUGUUCUCUCUCUCUGUGUUCUACUGAUCUGAAGGUGUUCUCUCUCUCUCUGUGUUCUACUGAUCUGAAGGUGUUAUCUCUGUGUUCUACUGAUCUGAAGGUGUUCUCUCUCUCUGUGUUCUACUGAUCUGAAGCUGUUCUCUCUCUCUCUCUCUCUGUGUUCUACUGAUCUGAAGGUGUUCUCUCUCUCUGUGUUCUACUGAUCUGAAGGUGUUCUCUCUCUCUCUCUCUCUGUGUUCUACUGAUCUGAAGGUGUUCUCUCUCUCUCUCUCUGUGUUCUACUGAUCUGAAGGUGUUCUCUCUCUCUGUGUUCUACUGAUCUGAAGGUGUUCUCUCUCUCUCUCUGUGUUCUACUGAUCUGAAUGUGUUCUCUCUCUGUGUUCUACUGAUCUGAAGGUGUUCUCUCUCUGUGUUCUACUGAUCUG
Molecule: long non-coding RNA, 493 nt
Organism: Oncorhynchus tshawytscha (Chinook salmon)
Lineage: Eukaryota; Metazoa; Chordata; Actinopteri; Salmoniformes; Salmonidae
Source: Ensembl